GAAGCGGCGCUUUUCCCGUCUCCAUGACAACGAGAGAGCAAACAAGAUGGCGGCGGCCCGGUUUGAGGGGUGAACUCGGGUGCGAAGUGCCGAUAACGCAGCUCUCUCUGCCUGCCUGUCUGCUCCUUCUUGCAGGUCAUGGCGGGGGUCGAGGAGAAGCAGGGAGUGGAGCUGCCCGUUCCUUCUCCUGAUCCCCAGCAGGACCUCUCCCAGGGGGUUUCCGAGGGGCCCAGCCUGCAGCACAGCCCCACUUACCAAGAGGAUGAAGAGGAGGAGGAGGAGGACGAUGAGCUGAAGGAGUCGCAGCCCACAGAGGUUCAGCUCAGAGUUUCCCCAGCUCUUUGGGAAGGGGAGCAUUUGGAAGGAGUGUUGGAUGAAGACACUGUGGCUGAGGGUCUCCACGAGCUGGGGCGCUCAGCGCCUGGUACUGAAUACGUUUAUCUUAAUCUGUCUCUUUCAGGUCAUGAGUUGAGCGACAUUAACAUUCUCUCCGGCUACGUUCACUUACAGAAGUUGGAACUUUCAUACAAUAAAAUUAAUGAUCUUUCUUGUGUCAGUCACAUGCCUUAUUUACUAGAACUGAACGCUUCCAACAACAAGUUGACUACAUAUUUUGGUUUUAAGCCACCAAAAAAUCUCAAGGUGGUAGAUUUUUCACACAAUCAAAUACCUAAAAUGCAAGAUUUAUCAGCAUACCGGUCCCUAACUAAGCUCUUGCUGGACUUUAAUAACAUAGAGGAGAUAAGAGGACUGGAGAAGUGUCGUAGUCUGACUCAUCUUAGCUUGUCACACAACAGACUGACUGCAAUCAGUGGCCUUGAGAACUUACCUAUCAGAAUACUCAAUCUGAGCUCUAACCUGAUUGAGAAGAUAACCGGGUUGGAUAGCUUGAAAACUCUAUGGAAGCUGGACCUUUCUAGCAAUAAAAUAACUAGUCUAGAAGGCUUGGAGGGACACGAUCUACUAGAGGUGAUCAAUCUAGAGGAUAACCAGAUUGCUGAGCUGAGUGAACUUGAAUGUAUUCAAGAUCUGCCUCUCCUCAGGGCUUUAAAUCUUUUAAAAAAUCCUGUGCAGGAACAGACAGAUUAUUGGCUGGUGGUGAUUUUCAUGUUGCAACAACUAACGGAACUGGAUCUCAAGAAGAUUUCAUUAGAAGAAAAGGUUGGUGCUGUGAAUCAAUAUGACCCUCCUCCAGAAGUUGUUGCUGCUAAAGAUCAUAUGACUCAGUUUAUGUAUAGCAUGCUGCAGCCCCAGAGGAUCUUUGACAGCACUCUACCUAGUCUCGAUGCUCCCUACCCCAUGCUGGUAUUGGCUGGCCCUCUCGCCUGUGGGAAGAGAGAGCUUUCUCAUAGGAUCUGCAGACAGUUCAAUAAUUUCUUCAGAUAUGGUCCCUGUCACACCACCAGGGCAGCUUACUUUGGUGAAGAAAACAGACUCGAUUAUCAUUUUGUUUCUCAAGAAGCAUUCGACAAAAUGUUGAAGACGGGGAAGUUUAUAGCCACCUUUAAAUACAGUGGCUACUACUAUGGACUUGGAAGAGACACUGUAGAUUCAAUUGCCAGAGAGGGUCUUGCAACAUGUGUUCAUUUAGAACUAGAGGGCGUGCGUAGCUUGAAAAAUACCUACUUUAAACCCAGAUAUAUCCUGGUGGUACCAAUGAACAAAGUAAAAUAUGAGGGACAUCUGCGGAGGAAAGGAUUAUUCAGCAGGCCAGAGAUAGAAGAGGCAGUAUCCAGAGUGGACAUGUACAUCAAAAUAAGUGAGGAUAUUCCAGGAUACUUUGAUGCAGUAAUCAGCGCAGAUGAAUUGGAUGAGGCAUUUGCAGAGCUGAGUUUCCUGAUAAAGGCAUACCUGGGUCUGGAGCCACCUGCAGCUUCUGAUAGCAGUCAAGACAUGAAUAGCAAAGCAGGAACAGGUUCAAGAAUACGCUUCUUGCAAGAGCAAAGAUUGUCACCCAGCAGAGGAGUGACUGGCACUACUCGGUCUUCAACCAUCAAUGAGUUCUUGGACUCCUCUGCCAAAAAUUAUCCAGGAGACACCUUGGACAAGCUUACUGCACAACUGAGUGCUGUAGAAGAAGCUUCUCUGCAAAGACGUCACGCUGCAGCACGUCAGGCUCUGUCAGGAAAGGCACCUAGUGCAUACGUCCAGCUGUUUCAAAGGGGCCUAGAAAUCACUCCUGCACCAGGCAGUUCCCAACAGCAAUUACUGGAGCCAACAACACGUCCUCCUCUGGUCUCAGAUGGAAGGAGUGUCACCCAAGACCACAGCUUCCCCCUGAUUAACAAGGAAAGCAGCUGCAGAGGAUUUGGGCCUGCUAGUAGGCUGUUUCCAAACUCAAGUGGUGCACCUGCUGCUGAAGGUCUGCCCAUUCGGAGCCCUCUUCCCCCUGCUCAUCUUCCUGAAGCUGCCAGAGCUCAGCACCAAGGUCCCAGGGGAGCUGAAGAUGGAGUGAACAGAUUGAAAGAGACUGAACUUCAUAGUGACAAUCUUCAGAGAAAAUACAGCAAACCCAAGACCACUUCUUCUCACGUGCCUCAGCUCACCAACUCCAAACCUGUCCUGCCUCCAAUCCCAUCUCGGCGAAAGGGCACCAACCCUUGAUGGCCACUGCUACCAAGUCUUGGUCUGAGUCACACUGAAGCUUUCUGUCUAACAGCAACGCUGAAUUUGAGAUCCUCAGAGGUCUUUGCAUGCAACAAAGAAGACACAACUCGCUGCCACAGUGCAGACUCAUGUCCAUGGAACAGCUUUGCUGUACCCCACUGUGCCUGUUCAGAGUGUGGCCGAGGGGUUCUGUUGUUUAAAUAGGGUGACCUAAACAAACUGGCCGUGCCCUCGAGCUGAAGCACAGCCCCUCAGAAGCACCGGUGGCUACCACUCUAGGGCUGCUCUGCUGGGUUCAAGAGGAGUUCAAGUAGCUGAGGCUGCAGCCUGAACCUUGAUGGCUUUGACCAUGGAAAGACUUCCAGAGGUCCACAAGUGGCUCUUCCUGCAAAUUGCUGAGCACAAUGAGUGCUGGGGCUGAGAUACUCCACAGACCAGGAGAAUGUAGACAGCCAGGGCAAGCAGCUACAGGCUGGGUGGAAGAUGAGAGCAGGAGGUAAGUGCUGGCUCAAUUCUCCAGCACCCACUUCCCAAAUUAGUCAGUUGGAUCUGGGAAAAAAUGGACACAAAAUUAUUUGUUUUGCUACUUUGUACCAUCAUCGCCCUGCUUCCUCCCCCACUAACCUCACUGAUACAGGCUGGUAGAGGCUCGAUGUGAAGACUACUGUGAAUCCAGCAGCUAUACCUUUUUAUUUUUAUUUUUUUAAAACACUUUCUGGAAACAGAUGGUGAAGAGUUGGCUUGGAUUGACCAAAGGGAUCCUUAUUCCUCUGCAGAAUGCACACAUCCAUCUCUAAAAAUACCUUUCUGAAGCACUGCGUUGCAUCCUAGCAGCAGCUGGCUGCCCUGCUAGCUCUGCCUGCUCCCUCAGGAGCUUGUCUAAUUGAAUAUGCUGCAUAAUAUGCUGCUAAUUUGGCAGCUGUCAAACUGAAUUACAGUAUUUUUUUUUUUAACAGUAGAGCAGUGGGGGUGAGAAAAGUUGCUGGGCGAUGUGAUUACACCAACUGACCAUGUUUCUCUUUGCAUCCCUCAUUCAAGGGAGAGCCAAAGAAGGUUUUGAAGAAGACCCAUUUGGGUCCUUCCGUGGUCUCAUCCCACACUUCCAACAGUGCUGGGUCUGUUUACCAGCUGUUGUCCCCAUGCUGUUGCAUUUGCAAACCCAACUCAAGUGCCCAUUCCAUCGAAGCUGGAGCUGAAGCAAACACUUCUUGGUACCCAACAUAGGCUCUGCAGUAAAUCUUGCUUCUUGGACAUACCCUUUUGGUAACCCUCCUGAAAUAUUUCAAGCUUCUGAGAUAUUUGUUCUGUCUUCUGUAAAGUGGAGAAAGAAGAGCUCUCGUUGCUGAGCCUGAAUUUCUUUUUUGCUGUUGGGAGGAGGGGGGAGGCAGCUCCUACAUUUUUAUCAUUCUUGCUUCUCCCUGCUCAGACCUCAGAGCAAGUAAAAGCAUGAAGGUAUAAAUCAAUGUCCAUCAGAGGCAUGAAAGCUCCAUGGUGAAAAAUCCCCUGUGCCAAAGGUACUUCCAGACAUGAGAUCUUCUCUUUAGACCCACAUGUCAAUCCUGUACUUCCCUGCUGGUAACAGCACAGAGGCCACCCCUGUCCAGGUGACAUCAAGACAAGGAGAGAUUUCCUUUGGUUCAAAAGGAGCCAGGAGUGUUUUUUCUUGCAUUAAUCCCAUGUGUUGUGGCUUCCACUACUCAACUGUGGAGACCAUGAAGGGCUGUGCUGCUCUCCCUCCCUUACCUUUAACAUGGUCUGAUGCUGAUAGGACAAGAGGGAAUGGUUUUAAACUAAAAGAGGGGAGAUACAGGUGAAAUGUGAGGAUCAAAUUCUUUACUCAGAGGGUGGGGAGGCCCUGAAACAGGCUGCAUGAAUAAGCUGUGGAUGUCCCAUCCCUGGAGGUGCUCAAGGGCAGGUUGCAUGGGGCCCUGGGCAGCCAGAUCACGCAGGGGGUAACCACCCCAUGGCAGGGGUUGGAUCUGGGUGGGUUUUAAGGCUCCUUCCAACCCAACCAUUCUAUGAUCUUGAUAGAAGACAUCUCUGCUCUGCAUGACGUGUGUUGUCCCCAUGUUGGCUCAAGGGGUCACCAGAUGUCACAUCUGUGCUAUGCUUUGGGCAGCUACCAGCCCAGGGAUUAUUUCCACCCAUGGUGACUCAAAGCAGGGUUAACCCUUUGUCUGGGCAUGAAGGACAACGUGCGUCUUCCUAUGUCUGUCCCCCAGCACCUCCUCCAUGGGAAAUGGGACCGUGUGGCUCUGACAGAUGCUCCUGCUUUGCCUCCUCCCUCUCAGGCUUUAAAGGGGUAAAUUAAUGUGCAUUCUCUGCACGGAUGUCUAUUGGUCAAUGCAAGGUCAGCACAUCCAUCUUCCAGCUGCUCAAAAAGAGCAGGGGGUGAAGGGUGAAGCCAAGUUGCUUAUAAUUGUAUGGAAGAAGGAAAAUAAUAAUAAUUACAAAAAAUUUCCAGCACGUUUUGGAGAAGGAAGGGGACCAGGAGAGACCCAUGACCCUGGGCCACGCUGGAGGCAAAAAUAAUGGCUCUAUAUCCUCCAAGCUGUUCCCCUCCCAGGUUUCCCAUGUCAGUAAAUCUCACCUUCCUCCUCUCUUGGGCUUCAGCUGCUGAUUUAUGGUUGCUAUAAUGAAAGAUGCUGAACAGAAA
RNA transcript from Numida meleagris (helmeted guineafowl), 5263 nucleotides. It is a transcript of the gene named leucine rich repeats and guanylate kinase domain containing, with no coding region annotated. Lineage: Eukaryota; Metazoa; Chordata; Aves; Galliformes; Numididae. The transcript has 23 exons. The record is from RefSeq and is a predicted model, not a curated record.